This 74-nucleotide transfer RNA is filed under the name Loxodonta africana (African savanna elephant). It matches the Rfam family "tRNA". Rfam says of the family: Transfer RNA (tRNA) molecules are approximately 80 nucleotides in length. Their secondary structure includes four short double-helical elements and three loops (D, anti-codon, and T loops). Further hydrogen bonds mediate the characteristic L-shaped molecular structure. tRNAs have two regions of fundamental functional importance: the anti-codon, which is responsible for specific mRNA codon recognition, and the 3' end, to which the tRNAs corresponding amino acid is attached (by aminoacyl-tRNA synthetases). tRNAs cope with the degeneracy of the genetic code in two manners: having more than one tRNA (with a specific anti-codon) for a particular amino acid; and 'wobble' base-pairing, i.e. permitting non-standard base-pairing at the 3rd anti-codon position. Lineage: Eukaryota; Metazoa; Chordata; Mammalia; Proboscidea; Elephantidae. The record is from Rfam by way of RNAcentral.
CCCUGGGUGGUGGAAAUAGUUAACACAUUUGGCUGUUAACUGAAAGGUUGGUGGUUCGAGUCCACCCAGAGGCA